RNAcentral lists this ribosomal RNA (862 nucleotides) under groundwater metagenome. RNAcentral describes it as "bacterial SSU rRNA". It matches the Rfam family "Bacterial small subunit ribosomal RNA", at positions 8 to 859 of the family's 1533-position model. The record is from RNAcentral.
AGAGUUUGAUCCUGGCUCAGAGUGAACGCUGGCGGUAGGCCUAACACAUGCAAGUCGAACGGCAGCACAGGAGAGCUUGCUCUCUGGGUGGCGAGUGGCGGACGGGUGAGGAAUACAUCGGAAUCUACUCUGUCGUGGGGGAUAACGUAGGGAAACUUACGCUAAUACCGCAUACGACCUACGGGUGAAAGCAGGGGAUCUUCGGACCUUGCGCGAUUGAAUGAGCCGAUGUCGGAUUAGCUAGUUGGCGGGGUAAAGGCCCACCAAGGCGACGAUCCGUAGCUGGUCUGAGAGGAUGAUCAGCCACACUGGAACUGAGACACGGUCCAGACUCCUACGGGAGGCAGCAGUGGGGAAUAUUGGACAAUGGGCGCAAGCCUGAUCCAGCCAUACCGCGUGGGUGAAGAAGGCCUUCGGGUUGUAAAGCCCUUUUGUUGGGAAAGAAAUCCAGCUGGCUAAUACCCGGUUGGGAUGACGGUACCCAAAGAAUAAGCACCGGCUAACUUCGUGCCAGCAGCCGCGGUAAUACGAAGGGUGCAAGCGUUACUCGGAAUUACUGGGCGUAAAGCGUGCGUAGGUGGUCGUUUAAGUCCGUUGUGAAAGCCCUGGGCUCAACCUGGGAACUGCAGUGGAUACUGGGCGACUAGAGUGUGGUAGAGGGUAGCGGAAUUCCUGGUGUAGCAGUGAAAUGCGUAGAGAUCAGGAGGAACAUCCAUGGCGAAGGCAGCUACCUGGACCAACACUGACACUGAGGCACGAAAGCGUGGGGAGCAAACAGGAUUACAUACCCUGGUAGUCCACGCCUUAAACGAUGGGUACUAGUUGUCGGGAAGUUUAACUUCUUGGUGACGCAGCUAACGCU